RNAcentral lists this ribosomal RNA (397 nucleotides) under uncultured bacterium. RNAcentral's name for it is "partial 16S ribosomal RNA". It matches the Rfam family "Bacterial small subunit ribosomal RNA", at positions 523 to 918 of the family's 1533-position model. The record is from RNAcentral.
AUACGGAGGAUGCGAGCGUUAUCCGGAUUUAUUGGGUUUAAAGGGUGCGUAGGCUGUGCGUUAAGUCAGGGGUGAAAUGCCGUCGCUCAACGACGGAGCUGCCCUUGAUACUGGCGUGCUGGAGUACGGAUGCCGUUGGAGGAAUGAGUGGUGUAGCGGUGAAAUGCGUAGAUAUUAGGAGGAACACCAGUGGCGAAGGCGACUUUCUGGACUGUACCUGACGCUGAGGCGCGAAAGCGUGGGGAGCAAACAGGAUUAGAUCCCCUGGUAGUCCACGCCGUAAACGAUGAAUACUAGGUGUAGGGGGUAUCGACCCCUUCUGUGCCGUAGUUAACACAAUAAGUAUUCCGCCUGGGGAGUACGGCCGCAAGGUUGAAACUCAAAUGAAUUGACGGGG